GCUCCCGGGGGUCGGCGCGGGGCUCUUGGGAGUCGGGGCGGGGGCUCGCGGGAGUCGGGGCGGGGGCUCCCGGGGGUCUGGGCGGGGGCGCCGGGGGCGGACGCGGGGGCUCUUGGGGGGCGGGGGUUGCCUGCAGCCUGCGGGGCCUGGAGGGAUUGUCAUUCUUGGCAGGAUUUCGGGCCCGGAGCUGCUCGGGAGGCUCCUGCCCCCGGUGUCGCGCGGCGCGCUGAGCCCUUGGGCGCCGGGCGGGCUCGUCCGCCUGCAGAGCCGGGGGAGGAGGUGGCGUCCUGCCCACCCUGUCCUUUUCCGGGGCUGGAAACUGAGGCCCGGCUGCGGAGGGGAGGUGCCCCAAGGUCGCCGCGAGGUCGCCCGGGCAGCCCGGGUCCGGGCAGGAGCAGGGAGCGUGCAGAGCCUUGUGUUCAGCUCACACAGCGUCCGGUUCCGCGGAGGCCUUGGGGACUGGGCAGCGUUUGGGGGUCGGACCGACGGGGAGAAAGAAGCUGGGUGGGAGCCCGAGUGUCGGGGGACACACAGCAGGACGGGUUCUUCCCGGGGUUGAGACUUCCCGUGUGGCUCUGGGUUAAAGAUUUCCAGGGAUGGCAGGUAGGGAACAAAGUGCAGGAAGGGUCUGGGCCUCCCGCGGAGCUUCACCCGCUUACCCCUGACCCACUUGACUCGCUUGGCCUCCGUCCUCCUCCUCCUCCUCAGACGGUUUAUGAGAGCCUCCGGGCGAGGGCCUUGGGCCCUGGCGGGCGCGCUGCCCACUAUCCACUGCCAGCGGGUCCCUGCCGGACUCAGGAGCCCGCAGGCUCGCCGGACGCGGAGAAUAGGCUGCUGUUUCUGGCAGCGCCAGCCUUGGGGAGUCGCUCUGCGUGGCUGGUGGCCCCGGCCCGCGGGGCGUGGAGGAGGACUCGUGCUUUUCCUGAGUUCGCCCCUCUGUCAGAGGGGGAAGCGCGUCUCUACCUCAUUCCUGGCUUCAGUCACCAGCGCUCCAGCCAGGAGGCCGGGAGGACCCCUGCCCCCUCUCCCGCAGCCUGUAGCGGGUGGGCGGUCUCUGCACUGAGCCCACCUGGGAUCCGUGUCUGUGCUUGCUUCUUCCUCAAUUUUUUUUAUUUAUUUAUUUAUUUAUUUAUUUAUUUAUUUAUUUAUUUAUUUAUUUAUUUAUUUAAUUUUUUUUAUGAUAGUCACACAGAGAGAAAGAGAGGCAGAGACACAGGCAGAGGGAGAAGCAGGCUCCAUGCACCGGGAGCCCGACGUGGGAUUCGAUCCCGGGUCUCCAGGAUUGGGCCCUGGGCCAAAGGCAGGCGCCAAACCGCUGCGCCACCCAGGGAUCCCAAUUUUUUUUUUUUAAAUGAAAUAUCUUGA
This 1365-nucleotide long non-coding RNA is filed under the name Canis lupus familiaris (dog). RNAcentral's name for it is "lncRNA (ENSCAFG00040011549.1)". Lineage: Eukaryota; Metazoa; Chordata; Mammalia; Carnivora; Canidae. The record is from RNAcentral.